Physella acuta is the source of this 1024-nucleotide long non-coding RNA. RefSeq lists it as uncharacterized. NCBI's taxonomy places the organism in Eukaryota, Metazoa, Mollusca, Gastropoda, Physidae. The record is from RefSeq and is a predicted model, not a curated record.
UGUGUAGGUCAAGGUGUGCAGACGUAGGUCUGAUUAUAAGUUUUAACUGGGUUAGAAGUGAAACACACUUAAAAAUACUUUUUAUUCAAUAUUGGUAUUUUGUUUCGUUGUAGGUUAUCCUGAAUAGUUUUUUUUUCUUCGGAGAUCGAGUAAUAUUUGUAUGUAUGUGUUCAAAAUCAGGAGAAGCUGCCUGUUGUAACAGAUGUUAACAAUGUCAACAUUUACCAAGUCCUUGAGUCAAUACGUAUAGUCGUCUGCUGAACUGAAGUCUUCGAUCGCUGACACGUUUGUAUUGACAAGUUGCUGUAUAGUUGCUGUUUUUCAAGGAGAAAUAUACUCAUGUUCGAUAACUCUGUUCAUGGUGCUAGGUUGUCGUUCCUGUGAUUGAACACUUUUUGGAAAGCACGUGUGUGGACUUAGUUCACAACUCACUGAAAAUCUGAAGAAUGACGUUUUAUCAGAACCUGGCUCAAGUUAAAACUGUGACAUUGUAUGCCUCGCUUCUAGUAGCUUCAGGAAUAGUUGUCAUAGUAACAUUUAAACUUCUCAAUUUGGCGAUAUCCGGCAACCAUCGACACGAGAGGGACGUUGAUCAGCUGACAAAAGUUAUAAAUAAUUUUACAUUAGUGUUUGGGUGAAAAAAAAUCUUAGCACGUAUUUAGAAUCCCGCCAACAACGUGAACGUGCCAGUUUUUCCUGCAUUGUUGAUCUAAACAAUUUCUUCAAUUGGCCAAAUCAAAGGGAGAAUACUACUGACCACUUUAUUUCAACUAUAUUACAACAGUUAUGUUUCUUUAUAUUCACAUCAUUGAAAUGGAACGCGUUAAAUAAUAAACAUUUUACAUUUUAUCAUUAAAUUUCAAUUUAUUACAUUAACAAUUAGGUUAGUACGUACAUACUUUGUUUAAAGAUUGACUUAUUACAUAAAUUAUUAACAAGACUAAAAUAAAUGAAUGUAAAAAAACUCUACUUUUACCCACACGAUAGUGAAUAGUCAUUCAGUCAAUCAUCAUCAAAAGCAUAC